This 444-nucleotide ribosomal RNA is filed under the name uncultured soil bacterium. RNAcentral's name for it is "bacterial SSU rRNA". It matches the Rfam family "Bacterial small subunit ribosomal RNA", at positions 26 to 518 of the family's 1533-position model. The record is from RNAcentral.
AGAGCGAACGCUGGCGGCAGGCCUAACACAUGCAAGUCGAACGGACCCUUCGGGGUUAGUGGCGGACGGGUGAGUAACACGUGGGAACGUGCCUUUAGGUUCGGAAUAGCUCCUGGAAACGGGUGGUAAUGCCGAAUGUGCCCUUCGGGGGAAAGAUUUAUCGCCUUUAGAGCGGCCCGCGUCUGAUUAGCUUGUUGGUGAGGUAAUGGCUCACCAAGGCUACGAUCAGUAGCUGGUCUGAGAGGAUGACCAGCCACAUUGGGACUGAGACACGGCCCAAACUCCUACGGGAGGCAGCAGUGGGGAAUCUUGCGCAAUGGGCGAAAGCCUGACGCAGCCAUGCCGCGUGUAUGAUGAAGGUCUUAGGAUUGUAAAAUACUUUCACCGGUGAAGAUAAUGACUGUAGCCGGAGAAGAAGCCCGGCUAACUCGUGCCAGCAGCCGC